RNAcentral lists this ribosomal RNA (253 nucleotides) under uncultured bacterium. Its description in RNAcentral is "partial 16S ribosomal RNA". It matches the Rfam family "Bacterial small subunit ribosomal RNA", at positions 524 to 776 of the family's 1533-position model. The record is from RNAcentral.
AACGUAGGGGGCAAGCGUUAUCCGGAGUUACUGGGCGUAAAGAGUGCGUAGGCGGACGUGUAAGUGGGUGGUGAAAGCGCCCGGCUAAACCGGGCGAGGUCCAUUCAGACUGCAGGUCUAGAGGCGGAUAGAGGGGUGCGGAAUUCCGGGUGUAGCGGUGAAAUGUGUAGAGAUCCGGAGGAACACCAGUGGUGCAGACGGCGCCCUGGGUCCGAACUGACGCUGAAGCACGAAAGCGUGGGGAGCGAACGGG